UAUAAGCUUUUCUUCAAAGGACACAAUAUUUUGAACAAUGUAUUCCAGAAAACAGCCACCACUACUGAAUUAAUCCCAGGAAUUCCCAGUCUUCGGAAAAGACCACAAUAUUUCAAAGCAAUUUAGUUCAGUCCAAGCAGAAUCUGCAAUUUCUGCAUUUACUCUCCGUCAACUGGAAUUGGGUCUUCAGAUGACCUGGAGAUAAGUUUUUGACACAAAACCUACUGAAAUGCUUCCAUUGAUUAACUCAUUUUUUCAGCAAGGAUUUUCUAAGCGACUACUACAUAAAGCUACAGUGCUUGGCAAGGAAGGAAGUGGGAUGUCAAGUACAGGUGGUGAGAUUUCUGUGGCCUGAUGUGGGCACCUCUGGAAAGACACGCAUUGGAGCGCGACGGGGUAGCGAU
This 404-nucleotide long non-coding RNA is filed under the name Homo sapiens (human). RNAcentral describes it as "HSALNT0179736". Lineage: Eukaryota; Metazoa; Chordata; Mammalia; Primates; Hominidae. The record is from RNAcentral.